GAGGCACACAGGAGCCAGAUCCUAAAGGCUUUGUAUGCCACAUUAGGAAAGAAUUUGGAAUACAGCUUCUGUUUGGAAAACAUUUUCUGUAACCAGCCCGACACAGAGACGGGGUUUUGCAUGUUGGCCAGGCUUGUCUCGAACUCCCGACCUCAAGUGAUCAGCCCGCCUUGGCCUCCCAAAGUGCUGGGAUUACAGGUGUGAGGCACCGCUCCUGGCCAAGACCAAUAUUUCUUGACGCUGACUUCAGGAGCUAGAACAGAACUGGUUGGAGCCCAGCUAAACUAAAAAGCACAGCCAAGGGCAGCAAAGCCUUCUAUGUUUACAGAGCCAAAAGGAUGCCGAAGGCCCUGGAAGUUGAAAAUCAAGACUGGCUGCUGUAAAGCAGACCAUCUCAGACGUAUUCUCAUUCCUGACAAAUACCCACCCACCAGCAGGACUGGGAGACACAUGGCAACCAGAGCAAGUUGUCAAAACUUAUCAUUAUAAAACGUCCAUCUUACAAAAGUACAACCUUUGCUCAGUGCAGUGUUUUCCUUAGAAGACAGCUCUUCUGAGAGCUAUAAAAAGGCUGAGAGAGGCUGAUGAAUGUUACACUUCUCUAAUUCACAAAAUUUAUCUGAAUACAAGGACAUAUUAGGAAAGCAUUUUCGUGUUCAAAUCCUACAAAAACAUAUGGGAGCAAGAUAAUGUUUGUUCUGACCUGCCAAAAUCCUGUGGAGAUCAUCUCGAAUCCACAUCACAUUCCUGAGUACUAAUGCUCACACGGGGCUUUUGCAUUAGCAGAUGUGUGAAAAUGCAUGUACUCAGAGAAUUCCCUCAUGGCUUCCUAUCUAAAGAAGCUCCUCUACAACAGCUCUUCCAGCCAAAUGCUGAAAUGACAUCUCCAAGUUCAGUAUACCUUCAUUUAAGCCAGUGUCUGGAUGGAAAAAAUUCAACUGAAAGGUUUGUUAUCUGGCUCAAAACCAAGGGCAGCCUGAGUGAAUGUGAGACAGAUUUUCAGAAGGCCUCCUAUAUUCUACUUCUAAUCCUCAAGUCAUAUCAGAGACUCUAGUAAAUUUUUACUUAUUCACAUCACAAUUUCUAGCAAUCAGAUUUCACCAUUUCAAAUGCGUCACUGGAAGAUGCAUGUGUAUGAUUUUAGUUGUGAUUAAAACUGGGGGAAGGGAGACUGUUCAAUACUCUUCCUAUUUCAGCUGUGGCAAGACUAUGCUGAAAAUAUUAAGAAAAUCAAUCUAUCUUUGCAUACUUUCUCUUAAAUUUUCUUUUGUAAAAAUCAUAUGUUUUUGGCCGGGCACAGUGGCUCACGCCUGUAAUCCCAGCAUUUUGGGAGGAUGAGGCGGGUGGAUCACGAUGUCAGGAGUUCAAGACCAGCCUGACCAAGAUGUUGAAACCCCGUCUCUACUAAAAAUCCAAAAAUUAGCCAGGCGUGGUGGCAGGCGCCUGUAAUCCCAGCCACUUGGGAGGCUGAGGCAGAGAACUGCUUGAACCCGGGAGGCGGAAAUUGCAGUGAGCUGAGAUCAUGCCACUGCACUCCAGCCUGGGUGACACGGCAAGACUCCGUCUCACACACACACACAUAUAAAAUAGAUGUUUUUGAGCCUUAUAAUAACACAGGCUCACCAAAGAAAACUUUGGAAAAACUUUAAAGAAGAAAAUUAAAACUGUUCAUAAUCCUAUCACUUGGAGGUUAAACACUAUUUACAAUUUGAUCUGUUUCCUUCGUGUCAUCCAUGAAUGAAUACCAUAAAGUUGUAUAAAUCCACAACUGCAUAAUUUUUCAUAAUACUUUUUGCACAGUUUUGUACUCUUCUAAGUUCAUUAAAAUGCAAAGCAGUGGUUACAAUCUUAAAUAGACAAAAGCAUUAAAGAAGGGGGAAAAGAGGACACCUAGAAAUGUUAACAGGUAUAUUUUAUUCUACGAUGAUACUCUAACAAUUAUGACUAUCUAUAUAUCAAAUAAUACAAUGUUGACAUCAUAUAGCAAAACUAUAGAAUAUAAGGAAAAAUACAGAAAAAUAUUAUUAGCAUGAGAUUUUAACUUCAUGAUUUUUAACUCCAUAACAGCUGAUAUAUCUAUAUAUCUACAUCUCUAGCUCUCUCUCUCAGAAAGCAUGUAACGUAACCAAUGAGGUAAAUCUAACUGUUGAAAUUGCAACUCUGUAUGCUGAAAAGAGAAAAUAAACCCCUUUUUUUCAAGUGCCCAUGAAACCUUUACAAAAAUCAUGAAAUAUUUUUGCUAAAAUAUAAAAUUUGAUCAAACCAAUCUCCCAGAUCUAAUAAACAAUUUAUAGGAAAUUUUAGGAACAAAAGGACACCAAGAGAUCAACAGAAUUCAGUCUGUGGGAAAUGCUAUAAGAUAAAUGUCCCGGUUUCCUUAAUAAAUAAACUAUAAAGUAGUAAAAACAAGGAGAUGGAGGAUAAACUUACAUAUUAAAAGAGUCUUAUGAAAUAUAUCAACCAAUUGCAAUGUAUAAGUCUUAUGUGAAACAUGAUUUUAAAAAUGAGAUAGAGAAAUUUAACAUGAACUGGAGAUUUGAUAUCACAUUAUUAUUGUUAAUCUUCUCAGGCAUGAUAAUACUUUGUUUUUUAAAAAAAAGUCCUUAUUUUUAGAGAUAUGUACUAAAAUAUUUACAAAUGAAGUAUCAUGACAUCUGGAUUUGCUUCAAAAUAAUAUGGUAGAGUAGCGGGGUAGCAUAUAAAACUAGUUUGGUGAUGGGUUGCUAAGUGUCAAAACUACCUGAUUUUCAGGGAUACAUCAGGCUAUUCACUCUAUAUCUGCAUAUAUUUGAAAUGUUUCAUAAUAAGGAGUUAAAGGGAAAAGCGAGCAUGAAUGUGUAUAUGCACACACACAUUAAAAACUGCUCAUAGCAAAUAUAGUUAUUCUUUUGAGGAGGUGUUUUAAGGGAAAGGAAAGAUAUGGGUUUGUAGCUGAUAUCGCAUUUACAACAGAACACCAUUUAUUCAUUUUUAUUUAAAUUUCUCCUUUGUGUAGACAGAUGUCACAUAAUGUUAGCAAUUGUUGAAUCCAGUGAAAAUGUUUAUAUAAUCACUGUACUAUAUUUAAAAUUUUCUGUAAGUUUGAAAUUUUUCACAAUAAAAUGUUGUGAAAUUCCUACUUAUUGUCAAGUUAAAAAGUUAUCUUAGCAAUUCUUGCCUGUAUACUUUCAGAUACACUAAAGAAUAAUUUUAUCAAUAUUGUAAAUCCACUGGCAUUUUGACUGGGAUUGCAUAAAAGUUCUGAAUUAAUUUCAAAAUACCUUCAAUUGUUAAAAUAAUCAGUCUCCUUAUUCAGAACAUGAUAUAUUGUUAAUUCAUGUAAAUAAUUUUUUAAUCACUCUGUAGAAUUUCAUAGUUUUCUUUACAUAGGUUCUAUAUCUUUCUUCUUAGGGUUAUUCCUAAGUAUUUUAUAUUUUCUGGUACUAUCAGGAGUGAAAUAUUCUAAAGAAUUCAACCGUCUAAUUAGCUUUCACUUGUUUAUAGAAAUAGUAUGAAUGUUUUACAUAUUUACCAAGUGUCUGAUCUGUUGAUAAGUUCAAAGAUAAUGCUCUUGAAUUUUCUAAGUGAAAAAAUUAUAUUGUCUGUAAAUGGUGAUUUUGUAGUUACAGCUCUUCUUUUUUUAUAUAUAUAUAUUACUGCCUUGUCUGGAAUAUCUACAUCUAGAGUAAUUGUAUAAUGGUUUUAGUAUGAUUGCCUCUUUCAUGAUUUUAGGAGGAAUGCCAAGAGUAUUUCAUAUUAAAUAUGAUGUCGGUUUUUGGUUUAAGAUAGCUAUUAUUUAUUAUUUAAAGAAGACAUCUUUCUAUUUCUAGUUAUCUCAGAAUAAAUCUCAUAAAUAAAUGCUGAAUUUUAUCAAAUGCCCUUUCAGCAUCUAAUGACACUAUCAUGUUUUCUUCGUGGACCAACAAAUACUAUACAUUACAAUAAUAUAUUUUAUAAUAUGGGAUAAAUCACAUUUGGUCAUGGUAGGUGAUUCUUUUACUGUAACAUUCAAUUUGGUUUGUUGGUAUUUUAUUUGCUAUUUCUGAAUCUAAAUUCAUAUGUAAGAUUGCUACAUAGCUCUCUUUUAUGUAUGUUAUGUUUGUUAGGUUUUAGUCAUUCAUUUUUAAAAGCCUCUCUGAGAGGGGAUUAGAAAAACCCUGUCCUCAAUAGGUGUUAAAAAGUUCCUCAAUGCUAAUGCUAUUUAUUAUGAAGUAGGAAAAGGCAAGAGGCCACAGCCUGCAA
Homo sapiens (human) is the source of this 4221-nucleotide long non-coding RNA. NCBI's taxonomy places the organism in Eukaryota, Metazoa, Chordata, Mammalia, Primates, Hominidae. The record is from Ensembl.